Molecule: long non-coding RNA, 971 nt
Filed under: Homo sapiens (human)
Lineage: Eukaryota; Metazoa; Chordata; Mammalia; Primates; Hominidae
Description: non-protein coding TSPEAR-AS2:2
Source: RNAcentral
GAACUUUCCUUAUGGUCAUCUUUGGGUGGAGCCACCACUUCCAGUUCUGAUCUUCUCAUUCUGGUUGAGUACCUGGGCUUGCCAGUGCACCCCCCAGGAACACCGCCUAGUCCAGGGCUCCCACAGGUCUCAGACUGACAGGAGACUGGGUCAUAUGACCAGCACUAGCCAAUGAGCUGUGAGUACACGUGACACAGGGACAAGCUGGGUCAUGUGACUGGCACUAGCCAAUGAGCUGUGAGGACGUGAGCACAGGUCCAGCUAGGCUGGGUCAUAUGACAAGCAUUAGCCAAUGAGCUGUGAGGACACGUGAGUACAGGUCCAGCUAGGCUGGGACAUGUGACUGGCACUGGCCCAUGGGCUGUGAGCACAGGUCAGGUCAGCCCCUUCCUGCUGCUUCCCACCGUGUGUGCUCCUUGUCUGACUUGAUAUGAGAACUAACCCAAUAUGGCAGGAAGCCACUGACAUGUGGGAGCCGUGCAUGGCAGUGGCCAGCGUCCUUGUCCUGCGGGGGCUCUGUGGACAUCACUCGCCUUCAGAACACUGAGCCCUCCUACCUCCUGAUAUCCAGGGCUGCCGAUGGGAAAUCCCAGGCUGCCGCGGCUCCUGUGUGCUUUGAAGGGUGCGCGACUCUGCUCUCAAGACCCCCUGGAGGCCCGCCCCCUGCCCCCCACCAGCUCAUUCGUUAGAUGAUUGGAAGUGACUGCCUACGUCUUCUUUCAGGAUAAAGCCUCAAGUCCUGCAACUAUUCCUUGUGUGAUAACGUUUCAAAUCCCUUCCUGGUUCUGGCAAAGCUCCUCAAACAUGCUCCAGUGUGCUGGGGCUCUGCAUGUGUGAGCCUGGGGCCAGCAGGGCGCACGUUCAUGUCAGGGCACCAGUAUGAUCCUGAUGACACAUGACUGGUGUGGAGCCCCGGGUGUUUCCACGGGAACUGCUGUCGGCCGGAUUGCUGUGCUCUGCAGCUGUGCCCA